This is a long non-coding RNA of Acanthopagrus latus (yellowfin seabream), 2755 nucleotides long. RefSeq lists it as uncharacterized. The record is from RefSeq and is a predicted model, not a curated record. The transcript is spliced from 4 exons. NCBI's taxonomy places the organism in Eukaryota, Metazoa, Chordata, Actinopteri, Spariformes, Sparidae.
UUUGUAUUGUGGAACCGCAGAGAAGACACGCUGAACUUUGCGCAUACACGCUUGUAAACUAAGUGCGGCGGUUAAAGUUGCAAGAAUAUGAAAUCAGAGUUGGAUGAUAUCACGCACCUACGGACACCAAGGUGCACCAUUCUCUCGCAGCAGCAGCACACUGAUAACCUAAACUUCAUACUCCUGCUUUGCCGGAGUAAGGAGAGUUACGCCCUCCUCUCAGCCGAUUGGUUCAUAUCCCUGCUGGAAUGCGUUUGUCAGGUUUUAAAUGGAUGUGGCUGGUGUCAUUCUGGCCAGACAAAACGAUGCCUCGUGGGUUGGACCUCGUCAGGGUGAAUAAGCAAUUCACUCGCUCAAGACCAUUCCUGGAAAUGAGAAGAAGCAAUCAGAAGUGCAGCUGUGUAUAAGAGUCCUUCUGGUAUUCUGACUGGAGAAAAGCUUUGUCUCCCUCUCGUGGUUUGCGUUGCGGAGAGCUCUACAUCAUCAGCAGUCAUCACACCCUGCCUUCGGUCCUUCAUGUGUCAGAGCAGAGCAUUCUCCUCCGACUGCUGACAAGCCCAGUCAUGAUCCGGCUUCUCUCUGCAGCCACUCAUCUGAAGAACCAGAUGAGCCAGAACCAGCGUUGAUUAAGAGGACCUUUAGACAUAUACUGUGCAACACUGCAAGGCCAAAUGACUCAAUUAUAUCAAAAAGAGGUUUGCUUUUGGCACGGUGAACAUCACCGCACAUCCAGCUGGGAUAACUUUCAUUUUGGUCUCAGCUGACUGUCCUGUCAUCACCACACACACACAGACAGACCAAACACUGGGAAGCUUGCAUUCCCUGCUGUCAGUGACACCGCUGUUGUUGUAACUGAGUUAACAGAGAUACAAAUCAUGUAAGGUGCCUUGAGCUCUGAGAGGUGACAUCACUGAGUCAACCUGAUACAGGGAUAAUGCGGUGCUGCAGGGUGGGCCAGCUGUGUUCAGCUUGAGGUCAAACUGCAGCCAAACAAACUCCUAACAAUCAUUGUUUUUUGUUUCUACAUCAUUAUACUGUCUUUAUUCACUGUAACAACAGUUGCAGUUGUUUAUUGUUAUGCAUGCUUAUAUCAUAUUUCAAUAUUUAGUCCAGUUUACAUGAAACUGAGGCUGGAAAAUAGCCAUAAUGUGGGCUGUCUGUGUUAAAUAAAUCAGUAAACAAUAUGGUAUAUACAAUUCUUUACAUCGCUGCCAAUUAUGUUUCUGCAUUAUGCAAAGCUACACAAAAUCAGUCUUGUCAUUAUUAAUAUUACCACUGCUUGUUCUGUACAUAUAGUAGUGACAGCAGUGUUCAUCUCCCUAGAAAUACUUCUGUGUUACCAUGCUGUUUGUCAGUGUUGCCAAAGUGACUCCGUCCUAACAAUUGCUCCGACUUAUCAGGACUAUUUCUGCUGGGGGUUAGUCCCAAGUGACAAUACAACCCCGGCCUCACUGAUCUCAUUAGGGCUAUUUUAGUCCAUUACGUCUCUGUCAGGGACAAUUCUUCUGAUGGUUGAAGCAGGAAUGGUGGCAGCAGCUAUACUCUGAAGUCAUUCCCUACAAAAGUAAAUUGUGUAACCCAUAGAAACACGAUGCACAGCCAGCCAGCAGCCAAAUCCAUCUUCCCCACCUUACGUUACUCCUGGGAUAAUACAGAACUAAAAAGGCAGCAGAACCAGUCAAGUUUAAUCAUAUUCUUUAUUUGUGCUCCUAAAUUCCCCAGGGCUGCGUGGACCCAUGUGUUAAGACUAUAAUGUAUGGUCAGAGCAAAGAUACCGCUUACAAAACAAGUCGAGUUGGGUUUAUUUACAGCAUGCUUUUAACAAAUGGGUUCAUCGGUGGGCUUUGCAGGAACAAACAAGACAAAAAUAGAUGAAACCCAAGGACAAUCAAAACAAGAGAAGAACGAGUUUCAAGAACAGGGAUGCAAAUCUAUACGUGUGUGUAUUUUGUGUGUGUGUGUAUAAGGACAAAUUGCAGCAAUAUGUGAAGUCUGGCCACAUAUUGACCUCCACUUAAAGCUGGACAUAUCCUCAGAAUUUAGCGUGUUAUCUUCAUAAGGCACAACUUAAAUCCCAGAAUGAAAUGGAGCUAAUGUCACUAAUGUAUUGCCAUUCAAACAUAAAAUGUUUGAAUUCCUUUUUCAAACAUCAAGAAUAUUUUUUGAUGAGUAUGAUGUUUGCUUAGUUGAGAAGAUGGAAUUUGAUAGCUAUUAAUUCCAUGUUAAUUCUGGAACACUGGUGAAAAAACUGGUGAAGACUUCAAAUGAAUCCAAUAAUGAAACAUUUGUCAUUAUCUACUCACCCCAAUAUCAUUGAAAAGACAGGUUACAUUUCACUUAAGAAUGUUUGCAGGCCUACCAGUGGAUGAAAACAUGAAAAUGUGAAUCAAGGAUUGUGGUUACUGUGUGAUGUUGCAUACAGACCAGUGUGUUAAAGACAAAAAUCUGGCUGUGAAAUGUGGCAAAAACAUGAAUGCCUGUUUCACUCCUUUCUUCAGACCCUCAUUGUCAAACUGAGAGUUUCUUAUUUUUGUCCCAUUUGAUGAUCUUUGCAUAUAGAAAUUAACUGGCUGUGAUGUAAAAUUUGCAAUCACUUAUCAUGUUAUUUUUAAACAAUGUAAAUUACUGAGUCUGCAGGAUGUUAUGUUAGAUUUGAUGGUACAAAAAAUGUAUUUUAUGUGUGUUGUCUAGAACAGGCGCUGGUUUUCCAAAAGCUGUUAAAACUAUAAAACGUUAUAAAAUGAUUUUAACUAGU